This 1502-nucleotide ribosomal RNA is filed under the name metagenome. RNAcentral's name for it is "bacterial LSU rRNA". It matches the Rfam family "Bacterial large subunit ribosomal RNA", at positions 1401 to 2925 of the family's 2925-position model. The record is from RNAcentral.
GUCGAAAGACGUAGUCGAUGGAUAACAGGUUGAAAUUCCUGUACUAUCCUGCAACAGAACUGUGGGGACACAGGCAGAGAGCGUGAGCCGGGAAUGGAAAGACCGGUACAAGCGAGGUAGGAGAAGAGUUGGCAAAUCCGCUCUUUAAUCUGAAGACGUGAUGUGGACUGAAAAUAAGUAGGGAAGCACGUGAGCUGACUGUCAAGAAAAGCCGCUAUUGUUUGCAGGAUACCCGUACCGUAAACCGACACAGGUGGAUGAGGAGAGAAUCCUAAGGCCGACGGGAGAAGCAUUGUUAAGGAACUCGGCAAAAUGACUCCGUAACUUCGGGAGAAGGAGUGCCAGUAAGAUGGCCGCAGAGAAUUGGCCCAAGCAACUGUUUAGCAAAAACACAGGUCUAUGCAAAACCGAAAGGUGAGGUAUAUGGGCUGACGCCUGCCCGGUGCUGGAAGGUUAAGGGGAGAGGUUAGCGCAAGCGAAGCUUUGAACUUAAGCCCCAGUAAACGGCGGCCGUAACAAUAACGGUCCUAAGGUAGCGAAAUUCCUUGUCGGGUAAGUUCCGACCCGCACGAAAGGCGUAAUGAUUUGGGCACUGUCUCAACAAUGCACCCGGUGAAAUUGAAAUACCAGUGAAGAUGCUGGUUACCUGCGCCAGGACGGAAAGACCCCAUGGAGCUUUACUCCAGCUUGAUACUGGGAUUCGGUAUUGCAUGUACAGGAUAGGUGGGAGGCUAGGAAAUGGUAACGCCAGUUGCCAUGGAGCCAAUGUUGGGAUACCACCCUUGCAGUACUGGGUUUCUAACCAGCAGCCGUGAUCCGGCUGGGGGACAAUGUCAGGUGGGGAGUUUGACUGGGGCGGUCGCCUCCGAAAGGGUAUCGGAGGCGCUCAAAGGUUCCCUCAGAAUGGUUGGAAACCAUUCGAAGAGUGCAAAGGCAGAAGGGAGCUUGACUGCGACACCGACGGGUGGAGCAGGUACGAAAGUAGGACUUAGUGAUCCGGUGGUAUAAAGUGGGAUUGCCAUCGCUCAACGGAUAAAAGCUACCCUGGGAUAACAGGCUUAUCACUCCCAAGAGUUCACAUCGACGGAGUGGUUUGGCACCUCGAUGUCGGCUCAUCGCAUCCUGGGGCUGAAGUAGGUCCCAAGGGUUGGGCUGUUCGCCCAUUAAAGCGGUACGCGAGCUGGGUUCAGAACGUCGUGAGACAGUCCGGUCCCUAUCCGGCGUGGGCGUAAGAUAUUUGAGAGGAGCUGUCCUUAGUACGAGAGGACCGGGAUGGACUGGCCGCUGGUGUAUCUGUUGUCUUACCAAAGGCAUAGCAGAGUAGCCGAGCCGGGAAGGGAUAAACGCUGAAGGCAUCUAAGCGUGAAGCCCCCCUCAAGAUGAGAUAUCUCAUAACGUCAAGUUAGUAAGACCCCUUGAAGACGACGAGGUAGAUAGGGCAGAGGUGGAAGUGUGGUAACACAUGGAGCUGACUGUUACUAAUAGGUCGAGGGCAUAACCAA